UUGGAGAUAAUUAGUAAAUUUGUGCUCAUGAAUUGCCACGAGUACUAAUUUUUGUGCUAUAGGACAUCAUUGAGUGCUCCCGCCGCAAGUCACAAAUGCUCUAGGGAUACAAAGAUUUAUGCUCCAUGCGCAGGCGAUGGAGCUGGAGCUUGCCAAAGAGAAAGAGUACUCCUCGCGGUUGCUUAUGAAGUUUGAUGGGACAGCCACUAAGUACCGCUAUCGCAUUCAGGAGCUUAUGGAGCAAAAGGAUCAUCUUGUUGGGCGAAAAGGAUCCU
RNAcentral lists this long non-coding RNA (275 nucleotides) under Setaria viridis. RNAcentral describes it as "long non-coding RNA (SVIR_LNC010701)". Lineage: Eukaryota; Viridiplantae; Streptophyta; Magnoliopsida; Poales; Poaceae. The record is from RNAcentral.